Molecule: ribosomal RNA, 470 nt
Filed under: uncultured bacterium
Lineage: Bacteria
Description: bacterial SSU rRNA
Rfam family: Bacterial small subunit ribosomal RNA
Source: RNAcentral
ACUCCUACGGGAGGCAGCAGUGGGGAAUAUUGCACAAUGGGGGAAACCCUGAUGCAGCCAUGCCGCGUGUGUGAAGAAGGCCUUCGGGUUGUAAAGCACUUUCAGUAGGGAGGAAGGUAGUGUAGUUAACACCUGCAUUAUUUGACGUUACCUACAGAAGAAGCACCGGCUAACUCCGUGCCAGCAGCCGCGGUAAUACGGAGGUGCGAGCGUUAAUCGGAAUUACUGGGCGUAAAGCGCAUGCAGGCGGCCUGUUAAGUCAGAUGUGAAAGCCCGGGGCUUAACCUCGGAAUUGCAUUUGAAACUGGCAGGCUAGAGUCUUGUAGAGGGGUUAGAAUUUCAGGUGUAGCGGUGAAAUGCGUAGAGAUCUGAAGGAAUACCAGUGGCGAAGGCGGCCCCUGGACAAAGACUGACGCUCAGAUGCGAAAGCGUGGGAGCAAACAGGAUUAGAUACCCCUGGUAGCGACUGA